RNAcentral lists this unclassified non-coding RNA (314 nucleotides) under uncultured fungus. RNAcentral describes it as "partial contains 5.8S ribosomal RNA and internal transcribed spacer 2". The stretch from base 1 to 133 matches the Rfam family "5.8S ribosomal RNA", at positions 22 to 154 of the family's 154-position model. Lineage: Eukaryota; Fungi. The record is from RNAcentral.
UGGUUCUGGCAUCGAUGAAGAACGCAGCGAAAUGCGAUAAGUAAUGUGAAUUGCAGAAUUCAGUGAAUCAUCGAAUCUUUGAACGCACAUUGCGCCCUCUGGUAUUCCGGGGGGCAUGCCUGUUCGAGCGUCAUUACAACCUUCAAGCUCUGCUUGGUAUUGGGUGACAUCUCUGGUGCACCUUAAAAUUAGUGGCAGUGUCAUUCAGCUUCAAGCGCAGUAAUCAUCUCGCUCUGGAGUUCUGAACUUGCUCCUGCCAGAACCUCCAUUUAUUAUCAUAGGUUGACCUCGGAUCAGGUAGGGAUACCCGCUGA